AAACCAACAGGGAUUGCCUUAGUAACGGCGAGUGAAGCGGCAAAAGCUCAAAUUUGAAAUCUGGCACCUUCGGUGUCCGAGUUGUAAUUUGAAGAAGGUAACUUUGGAGUUGGCUCUUGUCUAUGUUCCUUGGAACAGGACGUCACAGAGGGUGAGAAUCCCGUGCGAUGAGAUGCCCAAUUCUAUGUAAAGUGCUUUCGAAGAGUCGAGUUGUUUGGGAAUGCAGCUCUAAGUGGGUGGUAAAUUCCAUCUAAAGCUAAAUAUUGGCGAGAGACCGAUAGCGAACAAGUACAGUGAUGGAAAGAUGAAAAGAACUUUGAAAAGAGAGUGAAAAAGUACGUGAAAUUGUUGAAAGGGAAGGGCUUGAGAUCAGACUUGGUAUUUUGCGAUCCUUUCCUUCUUGGUUGGGUUCCUCGCAGCUUACUGGGCCAGCAUCGGUUUGGAUGGUAGGAUAAUGACUAAGGAAUGUGGCUCUACUUCGGUGGAGUGUUAUAGCCUUGGUUGAUACUGCCUGUCUAGACCGAGGACUGCGUCU
RNAcentral lists this ribosomal RNA (535 nucleotides) under Debaryomyces hansenii. Its description in RNAcentral is "partial large subunit ribosomal RNA". It matches the Rfam family "Eukaryotic large subunit ribosomal RNA", at positions 62 to 602 of the family's 3401-position model. The record is from RNAcentral. Lineage: Eukaryota; Fungi; Ascomycota; Pichiomycetes; Serinales; Debaryomycetaceae.